RNAcentral lists this ribosomal RNA (254 nucleotides) under uncultured bacterium. RNAcentral's name for it is "partial 16S ribosomal RNA". It matches the Rfam family "Bacterial small subunit ribosomal RNA", at positions 524 to 777 of the family's 1533-position model. The record is from RNAcentral.
UACGAAGGGGGCUAGCGUUGCUCGGAAUCACUGGGCGUAAAGGGUGCGUAGGCGGGUCUUUAAGUCAGGGGUGAAAUCCUGGAGCUCAACUCCAGAACUGCCCUUGAUACUGAGGAUCUUGAGUUCGGGAGAGGUGAGUGGAACUGCGAGUGUAGAGGUGAAAUUCGUAGAUAUUCGCAAGAACACCAGUGGCGAAGGCGGCUCACUGGCCCGAUACUGACGCUGAGGCACGAAAGCGUGGGGAAGCAACAGGG